GUAGGGAAUAUUGGGCAAUGGAUGCAAGUCUGACCCAGCCAUCCCGCGUGCCGGAAGAAGGCCCUCAGGGUUGUAAACGGCUUUUGACGGUGAAGAAUCGACAGGAUGCGUCCUGUUUUGACGGUAUCCGUUGAAUAAGCACCGGCUAACUCCGUGCCAGCAGCCGCGGUAAUACGGAGGGUGCGAGCGUUGUCCGGAUUUAUUGGGUUUAAUGGGUGCGUAGGCUGGAAGGUCAGUCAGCGGUGAAAAGCUGUCGCUUAACGAUAGUAUUGCCGCAGAUACUUCCUUUCUUGGAUGAGGAGGAGGCCACUGGAACGGAUGGUGUAGCGGUGAAAUGCAUAGAUAUCAUCCAGAACACCGAUUGCGAAGGCAGGUGGCUGUACCUUAAUCGACGCUGAUGCACGAAAGCAUGGGGAGCAAACAGGAUUAGAAACCCCGGUAGUCC
RNAcentral lists this ribosomal RNA (445 nucleotides) under uncultured bacterium. RNAcentral's name for it is "partial 16S ribosomal RNA". It matches the Rfam family "Bacterial small subunit ribosomal RNA", at positions 354 to 796 of the family's 1533-position model. The record is from RNAcentral.